This is an RNA transcript of Salvia miltiorrhiza (redroot sage), 2921 nucleotides long. RefSeq lists it as uncharacterized. Lineage: Eukaryota; Viridiplantae; Streptophyta; Magnoliopsida; Lamiales; Lamiaceae. The transcript is spliced from 2 exons. The record is from RefSeq and is a predicted model, not a curated record.
GAACCGUUAUGUAUGAGCGUCUUUAAAAACUGUUAUGUAUAAUUUUUUUUAUUAAUUUUUUUAAAAUAAUAUUAUAUUAUCUUAUAUUAUAUUAAAAAAUAACAAAUAAAUUAUUUAUCCUAAAAUUUGAAUUUAUUCCUAGAUAUAGACUUUGAAAAAUAAAAAAUUCAUAACAUUUUUUUAUUAAAAAUCUAAAUUAGAAAUCUAAAUACCAAAAAUUGAAUAUUAAAAGUGAAAAAAAGAAAAAGACAAAUCCUUAUUUCUCUUCAAAAUUUCCCCCAAUCUCUUCAAAAAUUUUCUCCAAUCCCGCGCUGAAUCCAAUCCUGUCUCUCGACUCCCUCUCUCCCCUCUCAACUCCGCCGCCGGCGCCGCUGCCCUGCACCGGCCCGUCGCCGCCCACCCUCGCUGCUGCCCCGCGCCCUAGUUCUUCUCUAUUCGAUUGGUUGAGCCCUAGUUCUUCUCUGUUCGAAACAACCCAGCCGUCGCCAUCUCAGGAAGACCGGCGAGCUACGCGACCUAGAGCCCGCCCAUCGUUGCUGGUGGUCCGAGGAUCGGCGAGCCGAUGGUGUUCUACGGCCGGUUCUCUUCUCAACUCCACAUAAUCGAGGCAGGAAAGGGGGAAAGCCCUAAUUCUCUAAUCACCUCUCUUUCUCCUCCAACUCCCGGCGAGCAGUGGCGGAAACGAUGCCACCGGUCCACCUUUCUCUUUCCAUAGAGAGCUCGUUUAUGGUAAUUUCUUAUUUUGUUCAAAGAUUGAUUGGAUUACAGGCUGUUUUCUUUGGUGUACAUAUGUGUUGCAGAUGGCAUCUUCAUGCUAUUUUCUCUAUGCACUAAGGCGCUUAAAGCUUAUAUCGUUUAGUGGUUUAUAGGCUGGAUUGGGGUUGGAUUUGGGUUCUGGUUAUUUGCUGAGGGAUGAAUUGGGGGUUUUCGAGCUAUGAGCUCAGGGAAGGAUAGUGUAACGCCCUGAGCCCACGGGGGUGGGGUUUCGUAUAUUGUGAAUUUGUUGCUUUGGAAUUUUAUCCAGAAAGAAGAAUGUAUAUUGUGGUUCCUUAAAGAUAGAAAGCAAUUCCAAGUUGGCUGUUACUUUCUCUGUUAUGGAUGAAUGUUUUGAGCCUAUCAUAGAUGAGCGAAGUGGAACCAAUAUGAUUUAUAAUGUUGUCUACAGCUGCGGGUGUGUGGAGAUCUGAGAUCAUUACAAGAGACUGAAGCCGCCUUUAUUCUUUCACCGUUUUCUAGGGAAAGGAUCAUUCUGUGUAAAUUGGGAAAAAUGUGGAAGGACGUAGGAACUCCAGCCGAUUCUUACUAUCAAGUGCGACCUGACUGCACUGAUGUACCCGAAAGCAAGUUUAGAAUCAAGGUUUGCUGUUUGCUUCCUUUUUCUUUGUCUUUUGGUUUCAAUCCAAUCUGCAAAUUCACAUCUUCGCUUGAACAUGCAUAUCCAUGAAUGAGAGUCCAAGCACACCAUAAGAUUGAGGGCUGUAGCAAUAUUCCUUGAACUAACCAAUUUUAUGUAGAUAUCUAUUGAUUGAACUGAAAACUUUUCUUAGUAUGCGGCUUGGAAGGGAUGGAAAUCAUGAUGCUUGUAUUAAUGUUCUAGAAAGAUCAAAGAAACAAUAAUCAAUGAAUUCUCUGAUGCUAAAAUUGAUGUUAUGGAACUCGAUCUUUCCUCUUUUGCAUCUGUUAGGAAUUUUGCAUCGGAAUACAACUCUUCGAGGCUUCCCUUACACCUCCUCAUGUGAGUUUCCUAUAAUCUAUGAUCUUAAGUUGAAGCACAUAUACCUAUGGUCUCGAACACUCACUAUGUCUUUUUUUUGUUUCAUCAUAAUUUAAGACUUUUUAGGGCAUUUUUCUUAGAUGAAGAUUGUUGUGUCCUGUAUACUGACAUCUUUUCUUAUUUAAAAGUAACAAUGCAGGGGUUAUGGCUACACCCUUCAUGCUUUCACAUGACAAUAUAGAAUUGCAAUUUGCAACGAACCAUCUAGGUAUGCUUUCAUGUACUUCUUUCCCCUCAAAUUUCAAAUGUAGCUUUUGGCACUGUUCUGUUUUAUAUGAUCUUUUGAAUUCUUUUAAGAUUGAUAAUUCACUAUGCACAGUGCUUUGUGCCAUACCAAAAGCGAAAAGAUUUGGUUUCUUAUAACUAAAUUGUAAUUAAUAACUAUGACUUAAUUCUUUUUGGACUGAGAAAACUGACAAAUGACAUCUUAAAUCUAUAUAUUACACUAAAAGUUCAUUUUGCUUUUGUCAGAUUAACAUUUACUUCAAAAAUAUCUGAAUGUGCAUAGCAUAGGGUUUAUGUUUUUAGUUGACGUUUACUUGUUUUUAGUUGCAACUUGUUUGUUUAACUCUUAAACUAUAUAGCUUUUUUUUUUUCAAAUUGUGUUCAAACAAAGAUGUCAAUUAUUCUGUUAACUUUUUGUGAAAUUGGGAGAUUUUGAAUGCUGAAAAGAUACCAUUCGAAACACAAGCUAGUAAUUUAGGGCCUAAAAAUGCAUGUUGUGUUCUCUUUUUUUCCCCUGUGUUCUAUGCUUUCUUUGUCUGGAUUGUUAACUUGAUACAGCUGUUAUGGUUAUAUGAAAAGAAUAAAGCUGUUAGCGACAUAGUCGCUGAUCUUUUGCUUUUAAAUGUGAGUUCUUCGCAGAUAUGCUUGGUUUUAAUCUGAGGCAUUUAAAUUUGAUUUGUAUGACUUGAUUUGGUUGUGAUUUUCUACUAUAUUUUACAUUUCCUUUUUACUCCUAAUAUGCAAGGAUAAUGUUUCUCCUUUUAGCUGUUUGGGAUUUUGUAGUUCCCAUGAGGAAAAUGUUAAUUUACCAGGAGAGAAUGUUUCUAGCCCUAUGUUUUGUUUGCUUUCUGUUAUGUCUUAGUUUUGUCACUUUAAUAAUUCUGAAGGUAGCGGUCAUUCUUCAUUUUUCACUAAAUCUCUA